RNAcentral lists this ribosomal RNA (497 nucleotides) under uncultured bacterium. RNAcentral's name for it is "partial 16S ribosomal RNA". It matches the Rfam family "Bacterial small subunit ribosomal RNA", at positions 28 to 507 of the family's 1533-position model. The record is from RNAcentral.
GAUGAACGCUGGCGGCGUGCCUAAUACAUGCAAGUCGAGCGAACAGAUGAGGAGCUUGCUCCUCUGACGUUAGCGGAGGACGGGUGAGUAACACGUGGAUAACCUACCUAUAAGACUGGGAUAACUUCGGGACACCGGAGCUAAUACCGGAUAAUAUAUUGAACCGCAUGGUUCAAUAGUGAAAGACGGUUUUGCUGUCACUUAUAGAUGGAUCCGCGCCGCAUUAGCUAGUUGGUAAGGUAACGGCUUACCAAGGCAACGAUGCGUAGCCGACCUGAGAGGGUGAUCGGCCACACUGGAACUGAGACACGGUCCAGACUCCUACGGGAGGCAGCAGUAGGGAAUCUUCCGCAAUGGGCGAAAGCCUGACGGAGCAACGCCGCGUGAGUGAUGAAGGUCUUCGGAUCGUAAAACUCUGUUAUUAGGGAAGAACAAAUGUGUAAGUAACUAUGCACGUCUUGACGGUACCUAAUCAGAAAGCCACGGCUAACUACGUG